CCGAUUACUGAACAUCAAAUGCAGGAGUUAAUUGCAGAAAACCACCACAUUUAAGGCAUCGAUUGAAGAAAACCACCUAGUCACUAAUUUUGUGCAAAAAUCACCGCGUUUCUAGUAAACCUUCUGCAAAAUGCACUGAUCAGGUGAUUUAGCCCAUUUAAUCAUUUUCUGACAGGUGGGACCGGACUCUAAGAAGCUGACUUGUCAAACAAAUUACAUACACAUCCCUGGAUCUAAAAACAAAAAGCAAUCAAGCCCCUGUUCUUGAUCUGAUCCCCUGCUCCCGAUCGAUUUGAUCCCCAGCUCCCGCUCUGAACGCCUCCCACUGGUCCGGCGGUGGACGCCGCCGGCCACUUCCUCUCCGGGCUGCCACCACUGAGAGCCGGGGGAAACGUGGCGUGAGGACGGGAUGGACGGUGAGCGUGGCCGACGCCACUCCUGCUCGCGCCGUGCGGCGGGCAUAGCUACUCGCGUCCAUCCGGUGUGCCUCCCCGUCACCUAGCCGGCGCCGAUGCAGGUGAGCAGCAAGGGCGGCGGCGGCUUGAGCUCCGGCCGCGGCGAGGGGCCCUCCCUCACCAGUCACCACGCCAACGCGGGCCAAGGAGCGGGGAUUGGGAGGCCGGCGCCGACGCCAGGGAGCGAGGGGGAGGAGGAGGAAACGAGCUCCUUGCGGAAGAACUUGGCGCCGGCGAGCUUUUGUGCGUGGAAACGUUGAACUCCGUGGUCGACACGCAGCCACCGCGGAACCUGCGGGGCGCCGGCGGCGCCGCCUCCCGCACGUCGUCCUGCCGGCCGCCGCCGUCUUCCGUCGCCUCCGGCGACAAGAGCCUCUCCGCCGGCAACUGGCGCGCAGCCGCCCCUCCGUGCACUGCUGGCCCUCGUGGUUGCGGAGAUGGCCGGCCGCUCCGCCCAGCGCGUCGCUCCGGCGUCCCUGGCCAAGCAGCGCGGUGGAGGCCAGGAACCCGACGCCCAGCGCGUCUCUGCUCGGGAUGUGGGGGGGCUGAUUGCUUUUGUGGUUUAGAUCAAGGGGUGUGUGUGUAAAAUAUUUGCUCUUAUAAUCUGGUCCCACUUGUAAGAAAGUGGUUAAAUGAGACAAAUCAACUGAUCAGUGCAAUUUGUAAAAAGUUUAUUAAAAACACGGU
Molecule: ribosomal RNA, 1142 nt
Filed under: Triticum aestivum (bread wheat)
Lineage: Eukaryota; Viridiplantae; Streptophyta; Magnoliopsida; Poales; Poaceae
Description: partial small subunit ribosomal RNA
Source: RNAcentral